GAUGAACGCUGGCGGCGUGCCUAAUACAUGCAAGUCGAGCGAACAGACGAGGAGCUUGCUCCUUUGACGUUAGCGGCGGACGGGUGAGUAACACGUGGGUAACCUACCUAUAAGACUGGGAUAACUUCGGGAAACCGGAGCUAAUACCGGAUAAUAUUUCGAACCGCAUGGUUCGAUAGUGAAAGAUGGCUUUGCUAUCACUUAUAGAUGGACCUGCGCCGUAUUAGCUAGUUGGUAAGGUAACGGCUUACCAAGGCAACGAUACGUAGCCGACCUGAGAGGGUGAUCGGCCACACUGGAACUGAGACACGGUCCAGACUCCUACGGGAGGCAGCAGUAGGGAAUCUUCCGCAAUGGGCGAAAGCCUGACGGAGCAACGCCGCGUGAGUGAUGAAGGUCUUCGGAUCGUAAAACUCUGUUAUUAGGGAAGAACAAACGUGUAAGUAACUGUGCACGUCUUGACGGGACCUAAUCAGAAAGCCACGGCUAACUACGU
This 496-nucleotide ribosomal RNA is filed under the name uncultured bacterium. RNAcentral's name for it is "partial 16S ribosomal RNA". It matches the Rfam family "Bacterial small subunit ribosomal RNA", at positions 28 to 506 of the family's 1533-position model. The record is from RNAcentral.